UAAGUGAUGGCGACCGGCGCACGGGUGAGUAACACGUAUCCAACCUGCCGAUAACUCGGGGAUAGCCUUUCGAAAGAAAGAUUAAUACCCGAUGGCAUAAUUAGACCGCAUGGUCUUAUUAUUAAAGAAUUUCGGUUAUCGAUGGGGAUGCGUUCCGUUAGGCAGUUGGUGAGGUAACGGCUCACCAAACCUUCGAUGGAUAGGGGUUCUGAGAGGAAGGUCCCCCACAUUGGAACUGAGACACGGUCCAA
Molecule: ribosomal RNA, 251 nt
Filed under: uncultured bacterium
Lineage: Bacteria
Description: partial 16S ribosomal RNA
Rfam family: Bacterial small subunit ribosomal RNA
Source: RNAcentral